Molecule: long non-coding RNA, 6933 nt
Filed under: Salvia miltiorrhiza (redroot sage)
Lineage: Eukaryota; Viridiplantae; Streptophyta; Magnoliopsida; Lamiales; Lamiaceae
Description: long non-coding RNA (SMIL_LNC005630)
Source: RNAcentral
ACGGAAUCAGCUCGAAAUGCUGCCCUGAAAAAUCAAUGUCCUUAUCCAAAAAUCGCUCGGGCUCAAAGCGCUCGGGAUCCUUCCAUAUGGUGGGAUCUCUGGUGAUCGCCCAGACGUUGACGAACAUUUUUGUGUUUUUGGGGAUUAGGUAUCCGUUGACCUGCGUCUCCUCCUCGGCGGCGUGAGGAGCUAGCAGAGGCGCGACGGGGUGGUAGCGCAGCACUUCUUUGAUGGUGGCUUGCAGGUAUGGGAGCCUCGAGAUGUCGGAUUCUUCCACCAUUGUUUGAUCUCCGAUAACGCUCUUCAGCUCUGCUUUCAGCUUUGCGAGUUUGUCGGGGUGGAGAAGGAGUUCCACCAUUGCCCAUUCCGUUGUGGCUGCGCUUGUGUCUGAUCCGGCAAUGAUUAGGUCCUAAACAAGGUGAAGUAAGUGAGUGAGAACUGAUUCAUUUUUAACGUGUUAAUACAAUUUUUUUACAAUAGUCGGAGUGAUAAUUGGAGCUUACAUGAAUUAGUAAAGACGAUGUCGUUUUUAUGAGGUUUAAACGACGUCAUUUCCUUCAGUUUUAAUUAUAAAAAAUCCCUUUGUACUACACCUGACUUUCAAUGUUAUGUGGCGAACUAAUCCACGUAAACUCCAACUCAUCAAUCCGACGAUCGGAAGAAAUUGAGGGGACGAAAUCGAAAAAAUUAUGAAGAUUGUAAUUUAAUUCGUCAUCACACUUCAAAAACCACGUUAAAAUUGUAAUUUCGAAAUAGUUUGUGGUUUUAUUUGCCAAAACCUCUAAUAAUUAUAAAUACUCACGAUUAAAUCGGAAUAAGUUGUGAAUUGCGUUGGUAAAACAAUAAGAAUGCAGUUUAUUUUUUGGAUUAAUAGUGUUUUAUGUCUUGAACUUUAAUUUUCUCCUAUUAAAUCACAAACUUUUAGUUUUUUUUAUAAAAUGUCCCGCUAUACAAAAUCUUAUAACAGAAAGAUGACAAACAAUUUUGAAAUUUUAGCGUUUUUUCAACAAUGGUGGUUCUUAAUAUUGUUUUCCAACAAUGACAAAUAUUUCAUUCAACGAGAUAAGUCAUUUUUCCGUCAUCAAAUUUUGCAUAGCGGGACAUUUUAUGAGAAAACUGAAAGUACGAGGUUUUAUAAAAUAAAAUAAAAGUUCGAGACAUUUUAUGGAAAACACUGAAAAUUUGAGACAUAAAACACUAUUAAAUAAUAAAAUCGGCUAUUUUAUUAAUUCGGUCAACAUUUAAAUAUAGAAAGAAAGAAAGAAAAAAAAAAGAGAGAAUAAUAUAGGAACGAGUGCUCACCACACACAAGUGCUUAAUCUCUUCAAUGCUCAAAUCAUAUUCAUGUCCUUGGAUGAGGUCUAGCAGCGUUUCCAGAAAAUCAUUCUUUUUCUGGUAAUUUGAGUCCUUUCUUGCUCGCAGCCGUUGCUCGAUCAUGCCGUUCACGAUCUCCAGCAAACCCCCGAGGUGAUGAAUCAUCUUCUUCUUGAUUCCUUGUGGAUCAAAAGGAGCAAAAAUGGGGAAGAAAUCCGAGAUAUUCGGAAGCCCUAUAUACCUCGUGUAAGAGUUCACAUGCUCCCUCAACACCUUGCUCGCCGCCGCGCCGCCGCCGUAAUCCGCCGAGAAAAGCGUCGCGAACAUGAUGUUGGACAUGGUGGUGAAGGUGGCUUCUCCGACGUUCAUGGCGCCGCGGCACUCGCCGACGCGGUCGAUCAGCCUCCGCAGCCGCUCGUGCCGGAGGGCCUGGCUGGCCUGAAGGGCUUGGAAAGAGAAGAGCUUCUCCCUCGCCACCCGCCGGAGCUUCUUCCACGCGGCGGAGCUGGAGGGCAGCAUGCCGACGGAGUUCUCGUCCUGGCCGAGGACGCGCUUCGCGACCGGGUUGAACGGGUUGGCGAAGACGAGGCCCUGCUUCUGCAGCACCUCCGUCGCCAUCUCCGGGGAGGAGACGACGACGGCGAAUUGGUUCCCGAGAUGGAGGGACAUCAGGGGGCCGUAGGUUUUGGCGAGGUGGGCGAACGACUUGUGGGGGUUUGGACCGAGCUGGAGGAUGUUGCCGAUGAUCGGAAGACGAGGCGGCCCCGGAGGGAGUCUCCGCCGCCUCGGCUCCGACCACCAUGAGUAGGCGGCCCAUGCUGCCGCAAAAGCCAGGGAGAGAAGAAUGAGAAUUUGCAUUUUUGGUUUGGUUAUUUUGUUUUGUUUCUACAUUUUCUUGCAUGACUCUCUCGCUAUUUAAAUCAUGAGUAUAGGGAGGGCGGAUCUAGGGACUAGGGGGCUGCAAAAUUGAGUCUUUUUCUUUUAAUAUAUAUAUAUAUAUAUUUAGUAUAAGAAAGAAUAUAAUCCGUCUGUCUUGAUUAUCUUGAGACAAAAAUUUUGGGCACAAAAUUUAAGAAAUUAAUAGUAUUUAAUAAAAUUUAAUAUCACAAAAUCUCUUGUAUAUUCGGGUGUACGGUACAUUCGGGUCGUACCCGACCCGAAUUCUGACCCGGAUCUAACCCAAUUGGAUUAUCCUACCCGAAUGUCAAGUGUUAGUAUCAUUUCGAUAUAGUGUUAGUGUAAUUUUCGAAAUAGUGUCAUUUGUAAGACAAAAUAGUAUUAGUGUUAUUUUUGAAAUAAAAUAGUGUUAGUGUCAUUCUAAGAUCGCGUUAGUAUUAAUGUCAUUUUAAGAAAAAAAUGGUCAGGAUAGUCCAAUUGGAUCAGGAUCCGGGUCAGGUACAAUUCGGGUGUACGGUACACUCAGGUGUACAGGAAACCAUCUCAUUUAAUAUAUACAUUUAGAUUAUUUUUAGUGUAAGAAUUAAAGAGUUUGAUGUUAAUGAAAUCGAGAUGACGGAUGAAAAAAUAUAGGAAUUUUUUAUACAAAUUUUGAAAAGCCCGAAAGAUGCAAGUGGCUACGAACUAAUGUUGGGCUAUAAUUCUAAUCAAAUUUAUUUCUUUGACCCAUCUAUUAAAAGUGACGUUUAGUUUGUUGUUAGAAAUACUACAAUUCUUGGGCUAUAAUUCUAAUCAAAUUUAUUUCUUUGGCGCAUCCAUUUCUUGGGCUAUAAUUCUAAUCAAAUUUAUUUCUUUGUUAGAAUUAAUACUAUUGACUUUUUUCUUUGGUAAUUAACAAGUUUUGGACGCCACUACGGAUCGUGGCGGCUGUAGUGGCGGCUGUAGAGCAGAAGAAUUGAUAGUUAGUUUUAUUUUUUAUGUACAAGUCGAAGAAUAAUUUAGAUUCAUUUUAAUAAAUAGUCGUAUAUGAUUACUUAUUGUUACUAUGUUUAAAUUUAUUACUAUGAAUAAUUAAUUUAUUUGAUUCGGUAAAAUAAUGAAACAUUAGUCCAAAAUCUAUAAUAUUUAAUUGUUUGUUAAUUAAUUUAAUUGGAUUUUGAUUUUUUUCUAAGUAGAGAGUUUUAAUCUAAUUUUCUUGAGCCUGAUCACCUUAGGUCAAUUAAUUUUUCCAAUCUGUAAUUAUUAGAAUCGAGCUAAUUAGUGACAAAGCUAUUGUAUCGAUAGUAGGCAACAACCAAAAUAUGUGAAAUAUUAUCGAGUCCGGCAACUCACUGAGUCGAUCCAUGAAAACCUUUGAAACAUAAUGAAGCAUCAAUGAAUGAAUUGCGCAUCAACAACUCAGAAUUUACCUUACACUUAAUUAUUGGAAGCAAAAUAACACAUACUCCCUCCGUCCCCAAAAUAAGUUCCUCUUUGGGGACGGCACGGGUUUUAAGGAAAAUGGUAAAGUGUAUUGAUAGUGGGAAAAAAUGUGUUAUAAUUAGUAUUGGGAGUGAUGAAAAUGUGAAAAAGUAUUAUAAUUAGUAUUGGGAGUGGUGAAAAAGUGAAAAGUAAGAAUAAAUAAAGUAUUAUUAGUGAUGGGGUAGUUGUCCAAAAAUAGAAAGAAAAAAAGAGGAACUUAUUUGGUGGACGUCCUAAAAUGAAAAAGGAUGAACUUAUUUCAGGGACGGAGAGAGUAUAUACUAUCAAAUUCUUGAAGAUUGAUUACCUGAAGAUGAACUUAGUUAUUAAACUUUAACAGAUCGAAUUGGCCUGCAGCAAAACUGAUUGGAUUCUUAACAUAUAUGCUGUGGAAGAUCCAAAGUUACAACGCAUGUUUUUAACUUCUCAAUGAACAUUUAACCUCAGAAAUUAAAGUUGAUUUUUUGAAAGGAUAAAAAGCAUGUUUUUAACUUCUCGAGUAACAUUUAUGAUGAAAUUUCAAGAGUUUUCAACGAAAAACGUAAACGGUCGAGGAUCAAAACCGUUCAUUUCAUAUUCUGCAUAUUGUUAUUUUAUUUUACUUAAUAUAUAGAGUAUUCAUUUGGAAUAAAAUUAAGGUUUUUAUCCUCUGACCGUUGAUGUUCUUCGUUGAAAAUCUCUUGAGAUUUAUUGUAAUUAAUAAAUGUUUCUUGAGAAGUUAAAACAUGCAUGCUUUUUAUCCUUUCAAAAAAUCAACUUAAUUCCUGAGUAUUGAAGUGUCCCACAUUGGAUUGGAGAUAGUGGCAUGAGCCACUUUAUAUGGUGAGGCAACCCUCUCCCUUAUAAGGCCUUUUAAAGGAGGAAUGGGCCCAAUAUCCAUUUCUAACACUGAGGUCGUUGUAACGUUGUAUCUUCCAAAGCAUAUAUAGUUAGAAUCUGAACCAGUUUACAAAGAAUCUAAUCAGUUUAAGCUUGCAGUACCCAAUUCGAUUUGUUAAAAAAUGGAGAUCGAUCGAGUCCCGCUUUUCUCAGCUUUCAUAUCUCCGAAGAUCAUCAUGAGGUUAGUCAUGAUCAGUCAGAGCGCGAUCGACUGAGUGAGUUACCCGAUUCCUUAAUCCUUUCGAUUCUUUCAUUCUUGUCGAUGGUCGAUGUUGUCCGAACAACCAUUCUCUCCAAACGUUGGAAAGAUCUCUGGGCCACCAUGCAUCCCUUGCCUUCAUUAUCCAUGGUCUUUUUCGUUGUGGUUAUUCGUUGGUUGUCCCUUCUUUGACUAAUGCAAUUCUCUCUUUGCGAAAUAUUGAUUUGUAUUCGUUGCUAAUUAAAACGUUUAAUCAAGUUUUUCGAAGCAUAAGGCAUGCUGAGAAGUUCACUUUAUCAGAAUGGUGCAUUGAGGUUAGAUUUGUUUGCCACAUUUUGGUUUAAUCAUUUCUACUUGUAUCAUUUAUCACUUAUUUUGACUUUGACAUAAUCUCAUUUUUGUAUUGCGUUGAUGAGCUAAUGUCAUAUGUUUUAGACUCCUAUUUGUUUUAUACAUGUGCAAGGUUUAAUUUAGUGUUAUUAUCGUGAAUUAUAUUUGUAAUGUUUUAAAUUGAUUAUAUGAUUAGAUUACUACUAUAUAUACUGCUCUCCGACUUCUAUCAUACAGUUAAGGGGCGUUUAUUGUGAAGGAUUAGCAUUGAUAUAUAAAUAUUGUAAAGUUAAUGUCUUGUUUACUUUACUGUAUUGAAACUUUGGGAUAUUUUUAGGAUCUUGAUUAUUUCUAUUAUUUAAACUAGAAUGUGUUUGGAACAGUAAAAACGCGAUCACUGAACAUAAACGUUUUACAUUUGGAGCAAAUUCCUACUGCAAUUUGUGUUUUGGAGCAAAUCCCUUAGUUUCUGGAAACAUUUUAAUACUGAAAUUUUGUUUUUUUUUUUGUUAGUCGAAAUUUUAUUCUCAAGAUUUAAUGCUUCAUUAGUUCAUUUGAGCAAUAUCUCUGAGAGGCAUUUUCACAAACACCUUGCUGCAGUUCAUUUUAAUGACAACUCUGUGCUAAUAUCUCUGAGAGGCAUUUUCACAAACACCUUCUGCGCAUACAUUUCUUAUUUAUUGAUCUUUUACUACAACGCAUUGGUUUUCAUAGAAUAACACAAACGCGUUUCACAUUAUAGCUCUCUUAUUACUACUCGAAAUCAAUCACACAAACCACCAUCAAAUCUUGCUGGGAAUCGCCCAAAGAGGGGUUUUCUUCUGCAGCGACAACCCAUACACAUGCUCUCUUUGCAACCGUUUGCAUUCAUUCCCUCUCUCAAGCUCCCAAUCGAAGUUGUGACACAGCGCCGCCACCAUACAAUGCAGCAUGCGGCUAGCCAGCGGCAUCCCGGGGCAGAUUCUCCGCCCCGAACUGAACGGAAUCAGUUCAAAAUGCUGCCCUGAAAAAUUAAUGUUCUUAUCCAAAAAUCGCUCGGGCUCAAAGCGCUCGGGAUCCUUCCAUAUGGUCGGAUCUCUGGUGAUCGCCCAGACGUUGACGAACAUUUUUGUGUUUUUGGGGAUUAGGUAUCCGUUGAGCUGCGUCUCCUCCUCGGCGGCGUGAGGAGCGAGCAGAGGCGCGGCGGGGUGGUAGCGCAGCACUUCUUUGAUGGUGGCUUGCAGGUAUGGGAGCCUCGAGAUGUCGGAUUCUUCCACCAUUGUUUGAUCUCCGAUGACGCUCUUCAGCUCUGCUUUCAGCUUCGCGAGUUUGUCGGGGUGGAGGAGGAGCUCCACCAUUGCCCAUUCCGUUGUGGCUGCGCUUGUGUCUGAUCCUGCAAUGAGUAGGUCCUAAACAAGGUGAAGUAGAUUGAGUUAGAAACUCAUUCAUUUUUAACGAGUUAAUACAUAAAAAUAGCUACUAUUGAAUUAAAAUCAAUUUGUUAAUAAUUAGGAUUUUGAUAAAAUCACGAACUAUUUUGAAAUUGUAAUUUUUUAAUGUAAUUUUUUGAGUGGUGAAUGAGUUCAUCAUAUUUUCAAUUUUUGCAAAUUCCGUGCUGAAGUGGAGCUUACGUGAAUUAGUAAAAAUGAUGCCUUUCUGGUAAUUUGAUUCCUUUCUUGCUCGCAGCCGUUGCUCGAUCAUGCCGCUCACGAUCUCCAGCAAUCCCCCGAGGUGAUGAAUCACCUUCUUCUUGAUUCCUUGUGGAUCAAAACGAGCAAAAAUGGGGAAGAAAUCCGAGAUAUUCGGAAGCCCUAUAUACCUCGUGUAAGAGUUCACGUGCUCCCUCAACACCUUGCUCGCCGCCGCGCCGCCGC